GACGAACGCUGGCGGCGUGCUUAACACAUGCAAGUCGAACGGAGAUUCAGCAAUGGAUCUUAGUGGCGAACGGGUGAGUAACGCGUAGGCAAUCUGCCUUCUAGAUGGGGACAACAUCCCGAAAGGGGUGCUAAUACCGAAUGCUGUACCGUUUCCGCAUGGAGACGAUACUAAAGGUGGCCUCUGAAUAUGCUACCGCUAGAAGAUGAGCCUGCGUCUGAUUAGCCAGUUGGAGGGGUAACGGCCCACCAAGGCUUCGAUCAGUAGCCGGUCUGAGAGGAUGAACGGCCACACUGGGACUGAGACACGGCCCAGACUCCUACGGGAGGCAGCAGUGGGGAAUCUUCCGCAAUGGACGAAAGUCUGACGGAGCAACGCCGCGUGAGUGAAGAAGGUUUUCGGAUCGUAAAGCUCUUUCGUUAGGGACGAACGUGCUCUUUGUGAAUAAUGAGGAGUAAUGACGGUACCUAAAUAAGAAGCCACGGCUAACUACGUGCCAGCCGCCGCGGUAA
This 512-nucleotide ribosomal RNA is filed under the name uncultured bacterium. RNAcentral's name for it is "partial 16S ribosomal RNA". It matches the Rfam family "Bacterial small subunit ribosomal RNA", at positions 28 to 523 of the family's 1533-position model. The record is from RNAcentral.